Molecule: ribosomal RNA, 1418 nt
Filed under: bacterium NLAE-zl-P565
Lineage: Bacteria
Description: bacterial SSU rRNA
Rfam family: Bacterial small subunit ribosomal RNA
Source: RNAcentral
GGCUUACCAUGCAGUCGAGGGGCAGCAUGGUCUUAGCUUGCUAAGGCCGAUGGCGACCGGCGCACGGGUGAGUAACACGUAUCCAACCUGCCGUCUACUCUUGGACAGCCUUCUGAAAGGAAGAUUAAUACAAGAUGGCAUCAUGAGUCCGCAUGUUCACAUGAUUAAAGGUAUUCCGGUAGACGAUGGGGAUGCGUUCCAUUAGAUAGUAGGCGGGGUAACGGCCCACCUAGUCUUCGAUGGAUAGGGGUUCUGAGAGGAAGGUCCCCCACAUUGGAACUGAGACACGGUCCAAACUCNUACGGGAGGCAGCAGUGAGGAAUAUUGGUCAAUGGGCGAGAGCCUGAACCAGCCAAGUAGCGUGAAGGAUGACUGCCCUAUGGGUUGUAAACUUCUUUUAUAAAGGAAUAAAGUCGGGUAUGNAUACCCGUUUGCAUGUNCUUUAUGAAUAAGGAUCGGCUAACUCCGUGCCAGCAGCCGCGGUAAUACGGAGGAUCCGAGCGUUAUCCGGAUUUAUUGGGUUUAAAGGGAGCGUAGAUGGAUGUUUAAGUCAGUUGUGAAAGUUUGCGGCUCAACCGUAAAAUUGCAGUUGAUACUGGAUAUCUUGAGUGCAGUUGAGGCAGGCGGAAUUCGUGGUGUAGCGGUGAAAUGCUUAGAUAUCACGAAGAACUCCGAUUGCGAAGGCAGCCUGCUAAGCUGCAACUGACAUUGAGGCUCGAAAGUGUGGGUAUCAAACAGGAUUAGAUACCCUGGUAGUCCACACGGUAAACGAUGAAUACUCGCUGUUUUGCGAUAUACGGCAAGCGGCCAAGCGAAAGCGUUAAGUAUUCCACCUGGGGAGUACGCCGGCAACGGUGAAACUCAAAGGAAUUGACGGGGGCCCGCACAAGCGGAGGAACAUGUGGUUUAAUUCGAUGAUACGCGAGGAACCUUACCCGGGCUUAAAUUGCAGAUGAAUUACGGUGAAAGCCGUAAGCCGCAAGGCAUCUGUGAAGGUGCUGCAUGGUUGUCGUCAGCUCGUGCCGUGAGGUGUCGGCUUAAGUGCCAUAACGAGCGCAACCCUUGUUGUCAGUUACUAACAGGUUCCGCUGAGGACUCUGACAAGACUGCCAUCGUAAGAUGUGAGGAAGGUGGGGAUGACGUCAAAUCAGCACGGCCCUUACGUCCGGGGCUACACACGUGUUACAAUGGGGGGUACAGAGGGCCGCUACCACGCGAGUGGAUGCCAAUCCCAAAAACCUCUCUCAGUUCGGACUGGAGUCUGCAACCCGACUCCACGAAGCUGGAUUCGCUAGUAAUCGCGCAUCAGCCACGGCGCGGUGAAUACGUUCCCGGGCCUUGUACACACCGCCCGUCAAGCCAUGGGAGCCGGGGGUACCUGAAGUGCGUAACCGCGAGGAGCGCCCUAGGUAAACUGU